Non-coding RNA from Ictidomys tridecemlineatus (thirteen-lined ground squirrel), 1222 nucleotides. The record is from RefSeq and is a predicted model, not a curated record. Lineage: Eukaryota; Metazoa; Chordata; Mammalia; Rodentia; Sciuridae.
AGGCUGACCUCCGACUUGUGAUCCUCCUGCCUCAGCCUCCCCAGUCACUGGGAUUACAGGGGCCGGGUGGCGGGAGUGACUGGAGUUUUGCAAGAUCCCAGAGCGAGCCAGUUUACCCACCAACACUGGCGCCAAACUGACAGACGAGGACUUAGCAAAGCACCCAGCCUGCGUGCUCCAGGGGCUCCGAGAUGCCUGCUCCCGGCCGGCUUGUGCCUCAGCACGUGCUGGCCUCCAGGCCAGGCCAGUUCUCACAAGCCCUCCUCCUGCCUCCCUGCGCCACCAGGGAGGAAAGCCACCACCGGCCUGUGCGCUGGGUGCGCGGGGCCUCACCGCCCAGGCGCUCGCUCCUCUGUGGCGCUUGGCUUCUGCCUCGCGGUCAGGCGGCCUCUGCUCCUCUCUGGUCCUGCUGUUGCCUUACCCGGGGGUUCAGAGGCUUGGCCCGGCUUUCCCAGCAGAUCGCUCGGGCAGCCUGAGCAGUCCAGACGGCUAGUCCAUGGGGACACGCGGAACGGCCACUUCAGAUGCGGUCCAUUCCCCGGCCGUUCACCCUGGUGCUUCUGAGGGAAGUGCAGAAGAGCCGCCUGCGCGUCCUAGACUGCUGGCCCCGAGCAGCCGUAAGGAAGGGCACAGGGGCCAGUCUCACCUCUAGCCACUUGCAGAACAAGCGGUGACCCUUAGUUCCUGUUUUCAGCGUCAUCGUGACGCCACAGACUCGCUGAUGCAUCUGGAUCUGCAGUCACUCCUGGUGUUCAGUGGCCCCCCUGGGACUGUGGGUCUGGAGGCCCCUCUGGCGGCUCCUGGGUUGCUCUGGUGGGACCCCAGGGAUGGCCCCACAGGGUGGUUCUCAGACAAGGCUGGGCGGGGUGCCCGCAGUGCCUGGUAUUUCCUGCUGGUGCGACUGUAGGGUCGGGUCUGCGCUCGAGGCGCUGAGCCUGGUGGUGUCCGUGGUGGGCACUUUUUCCACUUAGGUCAGCGUACCUGUCCUCUCCUCUGUGAUCAUCUUCAAAAUAACGUGACCAGUAGGUUCACUGACAACGCUUUUGAACCGAGUUUGGGUUUCUAUCCUUUUUGUGCCGGCCCCUUUAGGUACGCACAGUCAGGAGACGGUUUCAAACUCACUGGAAAGACCUCAGCUCAGUUCCCCCACCACUCCACACCUGUGUGCCUUUAUUUUUCUCUCUUUUUAAAAAUUUUAAAUGAAUUUAAUUUUGCUCAUUAA